Molecule: ribosomal RNA, 457 nt
Filed under: uncultured bacterium
Lineage: Bacteria
Description: SSU rRNA
Rfam family: Bacterial small subunit ribosomal RNA
Source: RNAcentral
AGGAUGAACGCUGGCGGUGUGCCUAAUACAUGCAAGUCGAGCGGUAAGGCCCCUUCGGGGGUACACGAGCGGCGGACGGCUGAGUAACACGUAGGAACAUACCCCAAAGUGAGGGAUAAGCACCAGAAAUGGUGUCUAAUACCGCAUGUGCUCUAAGGAGUAAAGCUUCGGCGCUUUGGGAAUGGCCUGCGCAUGAUUAGCUUGUUGGUGAGGUAAUAGCUCACCAAGGCGACGAUCAUUAGCUGGUCUGAGAGGAUGAUCAGCCAGACUGGGACUGAGACACGGCCCAGACUCCUACGGGAGGCAGCAGUAGGGAAUUUUCCACAAUGGGCGAAAGCCUGAUGGAGCAACACCGCGUGCAGGAUGAAGGCCUUAGGGUUGUAAACUGCUUUUAUAUGUGACGAUUAUGACGGUAGCAUAUGAAUAAGGAUCGGACUAACUCCGUGCCAGCAGCCGC